CGAUAAAAGUUACCCUGGGGAUAACAGGCUAGUAGUGCCCAAGCGUCCAUAGCGACGGCACUGUUCGGCACCUCGAUGUCGGCUCAUCUUAUCCUGGGGCUGGAGCAGGUCCCAAGGGUUUGGCUGUUCGCCAAUUAAAAAGAUACGCGAGCUGGGUUUAGACCGUUCUGGUUGCGAAAAUAUUCGUUACCAGAACCAAUCUAAACCCGAGGAGGGGAGAGACACCCAAAGACAUCAUUCACGGCGGCGUAAGCAAGUGAUUGUUUACUGAGAAGUUGACUAUAUCGGUGAAAUCUUACACCAACGUGUGUUAGGAUAAUACCGAGGGAAGUCAAAUUAUGUCGCUCAAUUCGUCGCAAUUCAAAGCUUAUCUUGCUGGAUUCUUAGAUGGAGACGGAAGUAUAUAUGUGAGAGCAAAACCAAACAAUUCAUAUCGUUUUGGUUAUCAAAUUGCUCCCUAUGUAGCGUUCUUUCAGUCAGCAUCAUGUGAAUCUUUUCCAGCCAUGGUUAAAAGAGUAGGUUAUGGAAAAAUUCGUCUUAGAAAAGAUGGUAUUUAUGAAUUUACUAUCUCAAAACAAGAUGAAAUUAUUGAUUUUCUUACGAAAGUCAGUCCAUUUCUCAUUCUAAAGCAAGAACAAUCAAGACUUAUGUUAGAGAUACUUAAAACUAAGAAAAACAUUUCUAACGAACAAGACUUUAAACGGCUAUUGAAUCGAAUUGAUACGUUUCGAGAUUUAAAUUACUCGAAAAAGAGAAAGCGUAGAGUUUGACCCCGUAGAGACUACACGUCAACCUUCCUUGGCAGAGGAAGAAGAUAUAGUCCAAAAUUCAAAAACGAAUUAGCGUGAGACAGGUUGGUCUCCUAUCUACUGCAGGCGUCGAUACUUGACGAGAGUUGUCCCUAGUACGAGAGGACCGGGAUGAACAAACCUCUGGUCUGUCGGCUGUACCGCCAGGUGCACUGCCGAGUAGCUAUGUUUGGAACGGAUAACCGCUGAAAGCAUCUAAGCGGGAAGCCGCCUCGAAGAUAAGGUAUCAUUAAGUCCCCUGAGAGAUGAUCAGGUUGAUAGGCACUAGGUGUAAGCGCAGUAAUGUGUUAAGCCGAGGUGUACUAAUUGGACGUAAGGUCCCAUGGG
RNAcentral lists this ribosomal RNA (1136 nucleotides) under Candidatus Kaiserbacteria bacterium. Its description in RNAcentral is "partial 23S ribosomal RNA". It matches the Rfam family "Bacterial large subunit ribosomal RNA", at positions 2454 to 2919 of the family's 2925-position model. Lineage: Bacteria; Candidatus Kaiseribacteriota. The record is from RNAcentral.